AAUCCUCCUGGGAAACUCGGUAAGUAACAGCUGAAUGCCAUUCUUCUGCAGCUGCUUCAUACAUGGGAGUACACAAUUCCUCAUCCAUGUUCAUACACUCCAGAUCUAUAGCACAAAUACUAUAAAAUCUGUUCUCCCUUGAAUUCUUACAAAGUUUGUCACCAACACAAAUACAGCAUUUAUUUUGCAACUCCCCAGCAGACACAUUAACAGAGUUAUUCUCACUUAAAUUACUGAUUCGCCUGUUUUCUUUCUCUACUAAAGAAUUUUUACAAGUGGCCAGGCAACACUGCAGAUGGUCACUUAGGAAAGGUUCCUGCUGCUGGUCAGGUACGUGUGAGAAAGGCUGGUCAUUUUCAGAGCAAACCUGUCUACCACUGCUCCUACACAGUGGGUCUCUAGCAAUCUCAGGAUCCUCUCCAACAGCAACAGUAUUUGAACUCUCAUUAGCCUUGUCUGCACUUUCAGACCCAUAAAAGAACCUGUAUGAGGUGGAGGAAUCACAAUUCCACGACUGCUUUGAUCUAUGGUCCUGUCUGUGCCCAGGCCCUGUAAGGACUCGAGCGUACACAGUAGCCCCAGCGGCCG
RNAcentral lists this long non-coding RNA (588 nucleotides) under Rattus norvegicus (Norway rat). RNAcentral describes it as "long non-coding RNA NONRATT013065". The record is from RNAcentral. Lineage: Eukaryota; Metazoa; Chordata; Mammalia; Rodentia; Muridae.